AGGACGAACGCUGGCGGCGUGCUUAACACAUGCAAGUCGAGCGGUGAUCCUCCUUCGGGAGGUGAUCAGCGGCGAACGGGUGAGUAACACGUGGGCAACCUGCCCCUCACACUGGGAUAACCUCGGGAAACCGGGCUAAUACCGGAUACGACCUCGAGCGGCAUCUCUUGAGGUGGAAAGCUCCGACGGUGAGGGAUGGGCCCGCGGCCUAUCAGCUUGUUGGUGGGGUAAUGGCCUACCGAAGGCGACGACGGGUA
This 257-nucleotide ribosomal RNA is filed under the name uncultured bacterium. Its description in RNAcentral is "partial small subunit ribosomal RNA". It matches the Rfam family "Bacterial small subunit ribosomal RNA", at positions 26 to 285 of the family's 1533-position model. The record is from RNAcentral.